Molecule: ribosomal RNA, 1556 nt
Filed under: Salmonella enterica
Lineage: Bacteria; Pseudomonadati; Pseudomonadota; Gammaproteobacteria; Enterobacterales; Enterobacteriaceae
Also listed under: 1 other name
Description: bacterial SSU rRNA
Rfam family: Bacterial small subunit ribosomal RNA
Source: RNAcentral
UUAAAUUGAAGAGUUUGAUCAUGGCUCAGAUUGAACGCUGGCGGCAGGCCUAACACAUGCAAGUCGAACGGUAACAGGAAGCAGCUUGCUGCUUCGCUGACGAGUGGCGGACGGGUGAGUAAUGUCUGGGAAACUGCCUGAUGGAGGGGGAUAACUACUGGAAACGGUGGCUAAUACCGCAUAACGUCGCAAGACCAAAGAGGGGGACCUUCGGGCCUCUUGCCAUCAGAUGUGCCCAGAUGGGAUUAGCUUGUUGGUGAGGUAACGGCUCACCAAGGCGACGAUCCCUAGCUGGUCUGAGAGGAUGACCAGCCACACUGGAACUGAGACACGGUCCAGACUCCUACGGGAGGCAGCAGUGGGGAAUAUUGCACAAUGGGCGCAAGCCUGAUGCAGCCAUGCCGCGUGUAUGAAGAAGGCCUUCGGGUUGUAAAGUACUUUCAGCGGGGAGGAAGGUGUUGUGGUUAAUAACCGCAGCAAUUGACGUUACCCGCAGAAGAAGCACCGGCUAACUCCGUGCCAGCAGCCGCGGUAAUACGGAGGGUGCAAGCGUUAAUCGGAAUUACUGGGCGUAAAGCGCACGCAGGCGGUCUGUCAAGUCGGAUGUGAAAUCCCCGGGCUCAACCUGGGAACUGCAUUCGAAACUGGCAGGCUUGAGUCUUGUAGAGGGGGGUAGAAUUCCAGGUGUAGCGGUGAAAUGCGUAGAGAUCUGGAGGAAUACCGGUGGCGAAGGCGGCCCCCUGGACAAAGACUGACGCUCAGGUGCGAAAGCGUGGGGAGCAAACAGGAUUAGAUACCCUGGUAGUCCACGCCGUAAACGAUGUCUACUUGGAGGUUGUGCCCUUGAGGCGUGGCUUCCGGAGCUAACGCGUUAAGUAGACCGCCUGGGGAGUACGGCCGCAAGGUUAAAACUCAAAUGAAUUGACGGGGGCCCGCACAAGCGGUGGAGCAUGUGGUUUAAUUCGAUGCAACGCGAAGAACCUUACCUGGUCUUGACAUCCACAGAAGAAUCCAGAGAUGGAUUUGUGCCUUCGGGAACUGUGAGACAGGUGCUGCAUGGCUGUCGUCAGCUCGUGUUGUGAAAUGUUGGGUUAAGUCCCGCAACGAGCGCAACCCUUAUCCUUUGUUGCCAGCGGUCCGGCCGGGAACUCAAAGGAGACUGCCAGUGAUAAACUGGAGGAAGGUGGGGAUGACGUCAAGUCAUCAUGGCCCUUACGACCAGGGCUACACACGUGCUACAAUGGCGCAUACAAAGAGAAGCGACCUCGCGAGAGCAAGCGGACCUCAUAAAGUGCGUCGUAGUCCGGAUUGGAGUCUGCAACUCGACUCCAUGAAGUCGGAAUCGCUAGUAAUCGUGGAUCAGAAUGCCACGGUGAAUACGUUCCCGGGCCUUGUACACACCGCCCGUCACACCAUGGGAGUGGGUUGCAAAAGAAGUAGGUAGCUUAACCUUCGGGAGGGCGCUUACCACUUUGUGAUUCAUGACUGGGGUGAAGUCGUAACAAGGUAACCGUAGGGGAACCUGCGGUUGGAUCACCUCCUUACCUUAAAGAAGC